RNAcentral lists this ribosomal RNA (164 nucleotides) under uncultured bacterium. RNAcentral's name for it is "partial 16S rRNA". It matches the Rfam family "Bacterial small subunit ribosomal RNA", at positions 355 to 511 of the family's 1533-position model. The record is from RNAcentral.
UAGGGAAUCUUCCACAAUGGGCGAAAGCCUGAUGGAGCAACGCCGCGUGUGUGAUGAAGGGUUUCGGCUCGUAAAACACUGUUGUAAGAGAAGAAUGGCAUUGAGAGUAACUGUUCAAUGUGUGACGGUAUCUUACCAGAAAGGAACGGCUAAAUACGUGCCCG